This is a non-coding RNA of Plutella xylostella (diamondback moth), 1036 nucleotides long. The record is from RefSeq and is a predicted model, not a curated record. NCBI's taxonomy places the organism in Eukaryota, Metazoa, Arthropoda, Insecta, Lepidoptera, Plutellidae.
GCCUCUGUACCCUUAGCAGGAACAUUUCAUCGUUUCCGUAUUUCAUUACUACACGUUAACUUUGAACGUAUUGAAAUGGCAGCAUAAGCCUUCGUCGUGUGCCGGUCGUUACAACGUUACCAGAGUUAAAAUAAGGUUGUACCACACUGAGAUUGUUAAGUUCAAAACCUUCAUAAUAAUUUCAAAGUAAGCAGCGAUUCCUUAUAAACGCACUUUAACAAUUGUCUAUGGAUGAUAACUAUGAUUUGAACGCACAUCCUAAUUUUUUUUUUUGACAUUUGUCAUCUGUCAUCUGUCAAAUUAUCAAUCUAUUGACACUGACAGGUCGGCUUUCAUAAUUAUUUGUUAAAUUUGUUUAUUGUUUUAUUGAAUUCAACGCAGUGAUAUUUGCCUACGGAUACCAACGCCAAGGCCCACGGAUGGAGAGGUCGCCAGUGGUGCCUUAAUAAGUGGAAGGAACUAGCCAAGCUCAAUAGCGAAGGGACGGGACAAGGAGUGAUAAGCAAAGGAGAAAAUUAAACAUGAAACAUAACAUUAAACAUAAAAGGUUGUCAUGACAGAUUAUCCCCUCGUCUCUCAAUGAUUUCCUAAUACCUAGGUAUGGAGUGAUUAUAAGAAUAAUACAAAGAGAAAAUGCUCCCAAAUUGCCUAAGGGGGCACAGUGAAUGGUUGAUGGUUCAGCCCUAAAAUGGAUAUGUCAGAUUGAAAGCUGCCGGAGAAUGCUAUAUAAUUGAUGUGAUGAGAUAUAGAAUCAGCAUGGAACAUGUGCCUGGUACGAGGAGCCAGCCCAAUCCAGCUAUACCAGCGUAUCCUGUACCCAGCAUCACGGACCAGGCCACCGCCUGCAAGUGCACCCCCGUGAAGGCAUAAAUUAUAAGUGUGCAUUUUGAUUGCUCGGUGAAGAAUACAUUUAGGAGAAAAGAUAAAUCAUACAUUUUGUUAUACUAUGCUGAUGUUUGCAAAUGUUACAUGAUACUACCUACUAAGAUAAAUAUGUUUUUUUGUAAAAUAAAGAAUAAAAAACUGUUAAACAGAA